Molecule: ribosomal RNA, 877 nt
Filed under: Sarcocystis buffalonis
Lineage: Eukaryota; Apicomplexa; Conoidasida; Eucoccidiorida; Sarcocystidae
Description: SSU rRNA
Rfam family: Eukaryotic small subunit ribosomal RNA
Source: RNAcentral
GGAUAACCGUGGUAAUUCUAUGGCUAAUACAUGCGCAAAUACUAUAUUAUCUCACUUUACGGUGGAUGAUAUAGUAGUGUUUAUUAGAUACAGAACCAAUACACCCGUAACAAGGUGUAGAAAAAGGUGAUUCAUAGUAACCGAACGGAUCGCAUAUAUUAUAAUCAUUUCGGUGAUUAUUGGCGAUAGAUCAUUCAAGUUUCUGACCUAUCAGCUUUCGACGGUAGUGUAUUGGACUACCGUGGCAGUGACGGGUAACGGGGAAUUAGGGUUCGAUUCCGGAGAGGGAGCCUGAGAAACGGCUACCACAUCUAAGGAAGGCAGCAGGCGCGCAAAUUACCCAAUCCUGACUCAGGGAGGUAGUGACAAGAAAUAACAACACUGGAAAUUCAAUUUCUAGUGAUUGGAAUGAUGGGAAUCCGAACCCCUUUCAGAGUAACAAUUGGAGGGCAAGUCUGGUGCCAGCAGCCGCGGUAAUUCCAGCUCCAAUAGCGUAUAUUAAAGUUGUUGCAGUUAAAAAGCUCGUAGUUGGAUAUCUGCUGGAAGCAAUCAGUCCGCCCUUUUAGUGAGGGUGUGUACUUGAUGAAUUCUGGCAUGAUCAUCAUCCUAAUAAUAAUAUUAUAUUAGGUUGAUUCCUAAUAUAAUGAUUACUAUUGGGAUGUGACAGUUACUUUGAGAAAAUUAGAGUGUUUGAAGCAGGCUUAUUGUUGCCUUGAAUACUGCAGCAUGGAAUAACAAUAUAGGAUUUCGGUUCUAUUUUGUUGGUUUCUAGGACUGAAAUAAUGAUUAAUAGGGACAGUUGGGGGCAUUCGUAUUUAACUGUCAGAGGUGAAAUUCUUAGAUUUGUUAAAGACGAACUACUGCGAAAGCAUUUGCC